GACGAGGGGUCCAAGGGUUGUUCGGAAUUAUUGGGCGUAAAGCGGGUGUAGGUGGCUCUAUAAGUCAGGAGUGAAAUCCCCGAGCUCAACUUGGGAAGUGCUUCUGAUACUGCAGAGCUUGAAUGUGGGAGAGGGUAGUAGAAUUCCAGGUGUAGUGGUGAAAUACGUAGAUAUCUGGAGGAAUACCGGUGGCGAAGGCGGCUACCUGGCCCAACAUUGACACUGAGACCCGAAAGCGUGGGGAUCAAACAGG
This 253-nucleotide ribosomal RNA is filed under the name uncultured bacterium. RNAcentral describes it as "partial 16S ribosomal RNA". It matches the Rfam family "Bacterial small subunit ribosomal RNA", at positions 524 to 776 of the family's 1533-position model. The record is from RNAcentral.